GUUUCCGGUGCAGAAGCCUGGUCUCCCCGUUCAGAGCGGGCAAUCUGCGCUUGAGACGGUAACGCUUGAGACGGGCCCAGGGAGCUCUCAGGGCUGGAGGGAGGCCAGACGGCUGCAGCCUGUCUCUCUGUGGCUCUGCCUGGAAGACGGAAGGUAAGAGGCUGGCUCCAGUCAUCCAUGACGGGUUGGCACUUCUCCAGCUGCGGCCAGUCUAACCCCAGGGCCUCCUGGGAAAUGUAGUUCGAAUGCAAACAACCAAUGGACGACCGUCAGGCGCGGCCGUUGGGGCAAGGCGGACCCCCUCCAACCCCCCCGUUCCCCCGCCAAGGCUUGAAGGAAGCGAGCUCUCGGACCGGAAGAUCAAGACGUCUCCGCGCGUUUCCUCCUUUCACUGCGGUUUUCCAGUAAAAGGACUGCGGAGGCGGAGAGGGUGUGGCCGGCAUGGGACUCCGCCUCUGCUCUGGUGACUCCCAUAGGUUAGAGCUGGGGCACCUACGUUGCCACCUCCAACUUUCUAACUUCUACUCUGCUGUCCCCACCGGCCGUCUUGUUUUUAAAGGCUCCUAGGAUCCACGCUGUCUUGUCUCCGACCUCCACCUCCCAGUAAUGAUGGCCGGAGAGGAAGCUCGGAGAGCCCAGAACAACGAUGCAGCUGUCAAAUCUUUGCGGGCCAUCAGGCAGCCUCUCCCGCUUGUUUCCAAGUCUAACACUCUUCAGAUCAUCAGAGACGAUGAGGUUGGGGUAAGCGGUUUCUGCAUCCAGAAUCACAUUAACUGCAAAGAAAAUUUGAAUACCUAGCUAGGGGUCCGUAGGCAACAUCCCUACAGGGUUAUCCCCACCUGCAGGAAAACAGGGACAGGGCAGUUAUUCUCGAACGUGGUGGGGGAGAGCACAGGGAUCCAGCAGGUCAGGGCCACUUGCCUUGAUCUGGGCACUUACCGGCAUGUGCCUGAGCGCCAAUCAGCUCUGGAACUACAGAGAAAAAUGAGAUAGGGAAAAAAGUCCUGAGCAUUUGUAUUCAGAGGGGCUAAAUUACAAUGUCCCGACAACAAGGAGACGCAAGGAACCCCCUGCUUAGGGCCCUGCAUGCUAUGUUGGGUAUAAUCCCGUUCCUCCCAGGAACCCAGGUCAUGUUGGGAACUGUGGUCUAAUGAGUCAGCUCAGCCAGUGAGUCAUGCAGUCAUGCACAGAGCCUGGGGGGCCUGCCAUGACCUUUCUCCUGCCUUUGCUCCAGGUGUUUUUGGGUUUUUUUGUCUUCUAAAUAGGGCCCCUCAAGUCAACAGCACAAGGAAACACUGCAACAAUCCCAGGCCAGCACACACUAUUACCGCUGGACUCACCAUUGAACAUUUCCAUUUCUGAACGCAGGGUUUCUAAAAUGUGGGAAAGGGAACAGAGAGAAGCUGGAGUUAGGUCCCUCAGCUAGGGACAGAUGGAAGAGAGGUCGAAGGCAGGUCAGCAAGACCAGGGGUGGAGGAGGAGGGAAGUGAGGGGCUCUGGGCUAUGUGAAUCUUAGGGCGGAAGCAAGCAUGCACCUCCAAUCCUCUCCCAAGCCCAUCUACCUAAGAAGUACUUUGCGUUCUUCUCCACAAACUCUAACUUCUGGUGGAGCAGUUGGAUCUUCUGUUUCAUCUCUUGAGGAGGAGUCCACCGUUCAGGGAGAGGCACUGUCUUAGCCCUAGAGACAAAAGACUGUUGGCCAGAGAGGGCUGGAACGAGGGGAUGGCCCAAGUACCCGUGAGCUGGAAAUGAUCUACAUUCUCCACAGGGCACACCUAGCCCAGCCUGAGCUACACAAAGAAAAGUCUUCUCUGGAUUCAGAGGUCUAAAUGCUGGUCCUCAACUUUGGCCACAGAUUGUCAUGUACUGGGGCGCUUUAAAGACAUGGAUAUCAAAACCACAAGGAGUUUUCAGAAUGGACUUAAAAUGACAUUGAUAUUAUCUACCAGAAUUAUCUAUGUCAAAUUGAUUAUACAUCCCUUUAUUUCUUUCUAUUGAAAUAAAAAUGGUAGUUAAUGAAAAAAAAAAACAAUAAAA
Non-coding RNA from Macaca mulatta (Rhesus monkey), 2037 nucleotides. NCBI's taxonomy places the organism in Eukaryota, Metazoa, Chordata, Mammalia, Primates, Cercopithecidae. The record is from RefSeq and is a predicted model, not a curated record.